ACGAACGCUGGCGGCGUGCUUAACACAUGCAAGUCGAACGGUGAAGCGCCUUCCUUUUUGGUGGGUGUGGAUGAGUGGCGAACGGGUGAGUAACACGUGAGUAACCUUCCCCUUUCUUCUGGAUAACCGCAUGAAAGGGUGGCUAAUACGGGAUAUUCUGGGUCUGUCGCAUGGUGGGUCUGGGUAAGAUAUUGUUGCGGUGGGGGAUGGGCUCGCGGCCUAUCAGUUUGUUGGUGGGGUGAUGGCGUACCUAGGCGGUGCCGGGUCGCAGGCCUGGGAGGGUGGACGGCCACACUGGGUGUGCGACACGGCCCAGACUCCUACACGGGGCAGCCUUGUGCAAUAUUCCACAGUGGGGGAUAGCCUGCUGCAGCGGCGCGGCGUGAGGGAUGGAGCCCCGCGGGUUGUGACCCCCUUUCGCCAGUGAAGCGGGUCUGCCUCGUUUGUGGCUGGGUUGACGGUAGCUGGAAAAGAAGCGCCGGCUAACUACGUG
This 493-nucleotide ribosomal RNA is filed under the name uncultured bacterium. RNAcentral's name for it is "partial 16S ribosomal RNA". It matches the Rfam family "Bacterial small subunit ribosomal RNA", at positions 29 to 507 of the family's 1533-position model. The record is from RNAcentral.